CCUACGGGCGGCAGCAGUGAGGAAUAUUGGUCAAUGGGCGGGAGCCUGAACCAGCCAAGUCGCGUGAGGGAAGAAGGUACUGAGUAUUGUAAACCUCUUUUGCCAGGGGACAAAGGCGGCCACGGGUGGCCGUAAGAGGGUACCUGGAGAAAAAGCAUAGGCUAACUCCGUGCCAGCAGCCGCGGUAAUACGGGGGAUGCGAGCGUUAUCCGGUUUUAUUGGGUUUAAAGGGGGCGCAGGCGGCGUGUCAAGUCAGCGGUAAAGUGUAGGGGCUCAACCCAGGCCGGCCGUUGAAACCGGGGUGCUCGAGUGGGAGAGAGGUAUGCGGAAUGCGUGGUGUAGCGGUGAAAUGCAUAGAUAUCACGAAGAACCCCGAUUGCGAAGGCAGCAGACCGGCUCCACACUGACGCUGAGGCACGAAAGCGUGGGUAGCGAACAGGAUUAGAUACCCCAGUAGUC
RNAcentral lists this ribosomal RNA (459 nucleotides) under uncultured bacterium. RNAcentral's name for it is "partial 16S ribosomal RNA". It matches the Rfam family "Bacterial small subunit ribosomal RNA", at positions 338 to 795 of the family's 1533-position model. The record is from RNAcentral.